Gasterosteus aculeatus aculeatus (three-spined stickleback) is the source of this 3306-nucleotide long non-coding RNA. Lineage: Eukaryota; Metazoa; Chordata; Actinopteri; Perciformes; Gasterosteidae. The record is from Ensembl.
GUCUGAUUUCUGCCAAAGGGUGCGUUUUAUGCUGCUGGCAGGCAGAAAUCCUAUUUUGCUGGUUGCCUUUUCCCAUGGAGGUGAAAGAGGAGACUUUCAGGCUGGUUAGACGGUAAGAAUUAACACAAUUACAGAAAACGAGAGAGGAAGACAUUUGCAUUUUUUUAAUGGUUGACGAUCGGUGAUAGAGAAAAGGGAAUUGUAUUGAGGAAAGAUAUAUAAAGCAGUCCUAGCUGCUUCUGUAGCCAUUAGAGAACAAGACUCAGGCAUGUGCUAGCUUGUGUAGGAGUGUGUUGUGUUAGUUUCAGUGUGUCAGCAUGUGUUCUUUCCCUUUCACUGUCUGUCCCUUCUUAUGUAAGUGUGCAGCUCUGUCUUAGUUUGUGUGUGUAUAUAAGAUGGCUUGGGGUUAAUGCAUGCCAAACGUCCCCUGUGAGUCUGUUUGUGUGCACAUAAGCAGGAGUUUGCACAUCAGCGGUCUCGUAAUCUGUCUCUCACUGGCUUUUUUCUGUUUUUGUCUGGAGAGCGUCUGGGAGUAUAACAGUUAUCAGAUGCUACCGUAUGUCUAAGUGUGGGUCUUUUCUCUUGCAUCUGUCUUUUUAAGCAAGAGGUGAUUAAGUGGAAGGUUUAGAAAUAUUUGUCAUUGAUCCUUUCGAAGCUUUGGUGGAAUUGUUUUUUCUAUGGGCCAUUCUGCCAGCGGAGCCUCAAAAUGCUACAAAAGAAUACUAGUUUUUUGUGACGAAAGAAAUGAAUAAACACAGUGGAAUCAAGAAAUCAAGUUGCCUCAAAGGGAUCAGCACCAAUGCCUGAGGAACUCACUGCUGAUUAAGAAACAGCAAGAGAAGGAAACUGAGUGAAGGAGGAGAAGGGGAACGCACCCAAAGAGAAGUGAGAGAGACGUACCUCCCAACAGAGCAAUGAGGGGACGAGAUCGACAGUACAUGGUGGUGUGCACAGUCUGGUGUGUUACCAUCUCAGCAAGCCCUGAGCAAAGCAGCCAACGAGUGCCACUAAAACUCAAUAAUGAAAGGUGCAGUGGAUCGAUAAUCCCGUCAGGUCAGAGAGGCCGUCGGUCACAUCUGUCCGACACGUAUCGACGCUUUGCUGGAAGAAGAAAAAAAACAGAAGGAGCAAAGGUUUGGAGACGCGGGGGUUCCGGCGUGUCCUUCCUCUGCGCCCUGUACGCACAAGGAAGAGAGAGACCUUGUUUCAUUGCGCACCGGAGAUCUUCGUUGAACUUCACGAACCUCUGGCGGACCGGAUCAGAUAUCGGUCCAGUCGGUGCUUUACCCUGCAAGUAGCGAGACAGUUUGGAUUUAUCCGCCAAAAAAAGUGGAAUUUGGGUAUUGUGCUGUUUCAUCCGGACCCUAAUCUGCGCUGACACGUGGAAUCGGAUGCGUUCCGUUUAAUAUCAGCUCUGUUCAUAAUAAUCCAAUUUAGAAACUCGUCGUCUGCGGUCGUAGGUUUGAGGCUGUAAAGUCACCGCUCUUCCUCAGCUCGUCCUCCGCGGGGCUGGAGGGGAAAGAGCCGGCGCGCUGAGGGAUGCGGAGCCGGGACCUUGUUUUGUUUUUCAGCUCACCUGCGGAACUCUUCGCAGCGCAAACCAAAGUAUCCCUGCUGAUUCUUCUUGAUCGGUGCAUCAGAGAUAGGACACACACCCAGACUGAACAGACGCGGGGUUAGUUGGCUACAUAACCUCCCCCUGCCGACCGAGGCAGCCGGUGAACCCGCGGGGCGCCAUGCUGAGGCAGAUGCUCCUCAACUCCACCGACACCUCAGACUUCCACCUGGCACUCGUGGCCCAGUCCUCCACGCACGCCCCCUCCUCCAUGAACGCCUCCCACGGCGGUUCGGUGAGCGUCGCCGCUCUCCUGAGACCCACCGCGGGGCGAGGGGGAGGGGGCCUCCGGGAGGGCGAGCUCCACAAGCCGGACCUGACCACCUACAUAGUGAUGUGCCUGCUGCUCUUCCUGUUGGUGCUGCUCAUCGUGUUCUUCAUCAACUGCCAGCUGCGGAACUCUUUCUUCGCCUCCAUGCCAUAUGACAGGUCGUUGAGAGAGGCCCGGAGCUCCUACAAGUGAGACCCCCCCCCAACCAACCCAGGCCAAUCUCUGUGACCUUUAGAGAGACUCCUGUGCGGGGGUUGAAGGACUGACUGGUCUCCUUGAACUGCUGCUGCUGGAAUCAUGUGGUUUGCCUUUAAUAGUUGUCUUGGACACAUUGAUUAGGCAGUGCCUCGGUGAGUGAAAUGUUGCACACAUCUUCCACGUCGGGGCCUGUACACCCUCCGAGAUAUAUGGCUCUUCGGACCAUGGGGGGCAUUUGGGAAGCUGAAUAGCUCCAGAUGGCAACAUAACAUUAGACUAUAACUCCUGCUCAAUUUAGGGCGCCUAUUUUGGGUGAUUAAUGAAUACAAUGUGAAACAAUCCAUCACGCCCUGUAAACAACUCAUCAUCCCCGUAUUGCACUUUGGAAAGAAAUGAUAUAUAUCCCUUUACAGCAUAUUCGCAAACUUGUGUUGAUUCAUCUCCCUGAAUUGGAGUCUAAAUUUGCUGUAUUUCUCACUGGCCCAGACAGGUUUCAGCUUCUUCUUUUUGUUCACGUAAACGUGGCGUACUGCAACAGAGAGCGUAUACAGUAGGUGGCGUAUAUUCAACAUUUUCUAUGACUGUAACUUAACCGUCUUGUCUCGUGAAAUGAAACAAUCAACGCACAACGCCCUUUUGUCCAUGUAAAAUGCUGAUUCAAUUACAGACUGUUUCUAUAAUGUCACAUAAAGAUAUUUAAAUGUACUUUAAGUGUCUCUUCAUCUCUGCACCUGCUUGUUAGUGGCGAUGCUGAAAAUAGCUGUUGAUGCGAUGGUCCAACCGUUAUUCAUGGUGGUUAGUCCUACAGUGCAUUUUCAUUUUUAAUUAACCUCUCCCCCACAAUUAACACAAGAGAGAAUGAAGACCUGAGGCUGCAGUUUAUGAUGAGACUUUUGCGAUAAACUAAACUGUUUUGCACAAAACCUCUCCAAUCGUGUUGUUGGAAACUUCUCCCCCAAACCAAGUCAGAUAUGAGCCUAUCUCUAUAAUCCUGUGCGUGGUCGUGUGUGCGCCCAGCUUAGUGGAAAAUACAUUUUGCAUUUAAAGUGUAGAAACACAGUUGUUUGUCUUGGAAUCGGAGAAGCAUUGCAAGCGAUAAAACUACAUCUGCAUUGAUUGGUGAAUUCAUAAAUCACAGACCAACUACUGUUUUGGAUGAUCUUCCGCUUACAAUUGGGUCAGCAAAUUCAGAACAACAUGUGCCUUGUUAAAUCAGUUGCCG